RNAcentral lists this ribosomal RNA (826 nucleotides) under uncultured bacterium. Its description in RNAcentral is "bacterial SSU rRNA". It matches the Rfam family "Bacterial small subunit ribosomal RNA", at positions 58 to 912 of the family's 1533-position model. The record is from RNAcentral.
CAAGUCGCACGGGGUAGCAAUACCCAGUGGCGAACGGGUGAGUAAUGAAUCGCUAAUGUACCCCGGACUCUGGGAUAGCUGCCCGAAAGGGCAGGUAAUACCAGAUGAGACCACGAUCAGGCAUCUGAUUGUGCUCAAAGGUCCGCCGGUCUGGGAGCAGGCGAUUUCGUAUCAGCUUGUUGGUGAGGUAACGGCUCACCAAGGCGACGACGCGUAGCCGGACUGAGAGGUUGGCCGGCCACAUUGGGACUGAGACACUGCCCAGACUCCUACGGGGGGCUGCAGUAACGAAUCUUCCGCAAUGCACGAAAGUGUGACGGAGCGACGCCGCGUGUAGGACGAAGCCCUUCGGGGUGUAAACUACUGUCAGGGGUUAGAAAGUUCUGAUCAACCCCAGAGGAAGGCACGGCUAACUCUGUGCCAGCAGCCGCGGUAAGACAGAGGUGCCAAGCGUUAGGCGGAAUCACUGGGCUUAAAGCGUGUGUAGGCGGAUUUGUAAGUACCUUGUGAAAUCCCACGGCUCAACCGUGGAACUGCUCGGUAUACUGCUUAUCUUGAGCCACUUAGGGGCUACCGGAACAAAUGGUGGAGCGGUGAAAUGCGUAGAUAUCAUUUGGAACGCCAAUGGUGAAAACAGGUAGCUGGGAGUGUGCUGACGCUGAGACACGAAAGCCAGGGGAGCGAACGGGAUUAGAUACCCCGGUAGUCCUGGCCGUAAACGAUGUCGACUAGAUCGUGGCAGCUCUGACGUUGUCAUGGUCGAAGCAAAAGCGCUUAGUCGACCGCCUGGGAAGUACGGUCGCAAGGCUAAAACUCAGAGGAAUUG